CCUACGGGCGGCAGCAGUAGGGAAUCUUUCACAAUGGGCGAAAGCCUGAUGGAGCAACGCCGCGUGCAGGAUGAAGGCCUUCGGGUUGUAAACUGCUUUUAUAAGCGAGAAAUAUGAUGGUAACUUAUGAAUAAGGAUCGGCUAACUACGUGCCAGCAGCCGCGGUCAUACGUAGGAGCCGAGCAUUAUCCGGAGUGACUGGGUGUAACGUGGUGCGUAGUUGGUAGAAUAAGUAGCUUGUGAAAUCUGGGGGCUCAACAAUUCAGACUAUUAGCUAAACUGUUAAGCUCGAGACCGUUAGGGGUAACUGGAAGUUCAAGUGUAGGAGUGAAAUGCGUAGAUAUAAGAAGGAACACCAAUGGCGUAGGCAGGUUGCUGGGACGGUUCUGACACUAAGGCACGAAAGCGUAGGGAGCAAACGGGAUUAGAUACCCGAGUAGUC
RNAcentral lists this ribosomal RNA (442 nucleotides) under uncultured bacterium. RNAcentral's name for it is "partial 16S ribosomal RNA". It matches the Rfam family "Bacterial small subunit ribosomal RNA", at positions 338 to 795 of the family's 1533-position model. The record is from RNAcentral.